UUGGUUUGGACUGUUGCUGGCUCUGCGGAGUACGUGCACGUCUAUUCCAUUUUUACAACCACCUGUGCACCUUUUGUAGAUCUGAAUGACUUUCGAGGCAAACUCGGUCAGAGAAAUUGCUGUGUGAACGCCCAGCUAUUUUUCAUUGCUUUCAGAUCUAUGCUUUACUAUACUCCAUAAUAAAGUAUAUGAUUUUAAACACAAAUAACUUAAAACAACUUUCAACAACGGAUCUCUUGGCUCUCGCAUCGAUGAAGAACGCAGCGAAAUGCGAUAAGUAAUGUGAAUUGCAGAAUUCAGUGAAUCAUCGAAUCUUUGAACGCACCUUGCGCUCCUUGGUAUUCCGAGGAGCAUGCCUGUUUGAGUGUCAUGAAAUUCUCAACCUUUCAAGUUUUUCCAUUGGACAGCUUGUCAGGUUGGAUUUUGGGAGUUUGCUGGAUAUACCAAGUCCAGCUCUUCUUAAAUGCAUUAGCAAGAUCAUCGCUUCAAUUAUCUUUAAUAUGAUAAUUAUCUAUAUUAUUGAUGAUGAGCGUUCCCUUAUUUUAAGGAAUGAUCAGGCUUAUAAUAUAUAAUGGUCUUAAGGACAAAUUAAUUGAAUCAU
This 601-nucleotide unclassified non-coding RNA is filed under the name Entoloma mougeotii. RNAcentral's name for it is "sequence contains ITS1, 5.8S rRNA gene and ITS2". The stretch from base 217 to 370 matches the Rfam family "5.8S ribosomal RNA". The record is from RNAcentral. Lineage: Eukaryota; Fungi; Basidiomycota; Agaricomycetes; Agaricales; Entolomataceae.